UCAGUGGACUUCUCUGGAUCUUGCUAAGAUGUCUCGUGAAAUUAGAGGCAGUCCAGAGAUCUUGUUUGCAAGAGAAGUUGCAAGAGCAUGCAGAAUGGGGAACUUUAUUUCCUUCUUCCGUCUUGCAAGGAAAGCUACAUAUUUGGAGGCAUGUUUGAUGCAUGCUCAUUUUGCAAAGGUAGAAUUAUUGUCUCUAAAAGCUGUUCAUCAACAUACCCUUUCAGUGGAAUUUAUUCUUCCUAAGCUCUUAUAUUUCCUAGGCCAACUGUGUUUGAAAUACUGUAAUGGCAACAA
Molecule: long non-coding RNA, 294 nt
Organism: Zea mays
Lineage: Eukaryota; Viridiplantae; Streptophyta; Magnoliopsida; Poales; Poaceae
Exons: 2
Source: RefSeq, a predicted model, not a curated record